CUCACACAGAUCUGACACACCACUGCCGCUGUGCAUGCAUAUGAUUAACUCAUUCUUUUUCUUCUUCUUAUCUAUCUGCCUUUACCCUUCUUGGCUCAGCUUUCACAACCAAGUAGAAUGAAACCAAAUCCAUGGAAUAACCAUGCAUUAACUAUCUAGCCUCCUUUUCCUUUUCUUGAAAAAUUUCCAUGGUUGCAUUCUUGAAGUGCUGGAAAUAUAUACUAACUUAUCAAGAAACUCUUUCAUACAUGUGAGGCUCAGAAGGUGACAUUUUGGGAUAAAAUUUCAAGACUUUCUACAGGGAAAAAGCAACCUCUUCAAAAGAAACACAACAACCCUUUAUUUGCAGACCAAUUUCAAGAUCUUAGUACACUUCAACUGGCAAAAGAGAACAACCCACUAAGCAAAGCAUAGAACAAAUUCACCGGCCAGGAUUCCAAGAAAAUAGAUUCCCAAGCUGCAAAAAUUGAAAACUUUCAAGGAAAACCCAUGAACCAACCAAAAAGGAAGAGGCACAUACCUAAUCCAAGGAACUCUGGAUUUUCAAGAUUUUUGGCCAGAUCUUGAAAGAACGUCACCCACUAUGAAAUAAUAUAUGAACCAAACCAAACCACUCGUUUUUUAGAUUAUAUUGCUUUAAAAACCAAC
RNAcentral lists this unclassified non-coding RNA (648 nucleotides) under Hevea brasiliensis (rubber tree). The record is from RNAcentral. Lineage: Eukaryota; Viridiplantae; Streptophyta; Magnoliopsida; Malpighiales; Euphorbiaceae.